AAAGCCGACAUAAAAUAAUCUACAAGUCACAAACACCUACGGUUCAUCUAUCCAACCGACUUAGAAAGCCUACGGUUUAUAUAUAGAUCUUGUUUUCAUCACAUUACUUGAAACAGGGGAGAAAGAAUCACGAGAGUGACUAAGGAGCUGCCUCUCUCAUGUUAUUUAAUGCAAUGAGGAGCGAGUGCACUCGUUUUCCCCCUAGUGGAGGGCUAAGUCCCUACCAGUCAAUCUCAGAUAAGGCUUGUUAGUCGAUUGCCGAUACACAAUUCACUCUUUUUUUAGCAAAAAUUAAUCUAACAUAAAAUGUAACAUGAAACAUUAGCUUUUAAACAGUAUAGUUAAUAUAUUUACGUUGGUCUGUUUUUUAUCUGCAUGAACUGCUAUGAAUUCACUGUGAAGCUUUGUUACUGUAAACUGUGCAUUUCUUACCACACUAUUGUUCAAAUGAAAUCAGCCUUAUAACAAAUAACGAACAGUGACUGGAUCCUUCUUGGAGCUGCAUACACUGUAAAUUGCAUUUACGCCUUUUUGUUGUCCCAACGUUUGAUUUCAUGUUAAUAUAACAAGGCUUUUGUAUUGUUGUUGUUAUAAAUUAGAAUAAUUAGUUAAACACAUCUCAACAACACUAAAAAUGUUAAACAAUAAUUUUAUGUCCAGUCAAGUAAAUUAUCCAAGUCUACUUGACUUUUGAGCAUUAAAAUAUAUGUCCACUGGGUGGCGGUAAGUGGCGCAAAGUUUGUUUCGCAUGUGCCUAUGAUAACGGAAGAAGAAGUCAACGGAGCUCUCAGCUCAGUCAAGCAGUCUUUCAUGCGUGCAAUGUUCUGUCCAGAAGGACUAACGACUCCAUUUAGGGUUAAAACCAACUACUUUGUCCAUCUAAAGGUGACACUGAACCAGUUCAACAGAGGCCCACCACUUUGGUAAGUUUUCUUUGGGUUUAUGUUGAAUUUGAAUUUGUUAGUUGUUAAAUAGCAUUAGCUUGAUUAGUCAUAGUGAAAUGAAUAAAUAAAAGGUCUGAACCUGAAAGUAAAUCAUGUAAUUCUAAGUUUAAUGUUGAAUGUAACUUAGUAUAUCUUAUAUUUGAAUGUUAGAAGUAGGUAACUCGCUGUUUGUUGGUUAGCAUAGCAGGGUUGGCGGGGAAAUUGUUUUGGGAAAUGUUUACUCGGUAACACGUUAAUUAACCUUUUUUCCGAAAAUGUAUACUCAUAAAAUUAAGCUAAAUGCUCAAAGCCGGGUCCACAUGUGCGCAUCUGUGGCGCGAAACAGCAGCGGAAUCUCGCAGCAUCUCAGGUGUUCUCCUCGCUAAACUCCGUACGUCACGUGACCCUCAGAGAGUAGACGCCAUGCAUUUACUUCACACUUUAAAACCGAAUAAAUUGUUUUAUAUAGUCAGUAUUCAUUUAAAUAAUGAAACAGAAAUAAUUAAUCAAAAUAUUAGGUGAUACUUGCAAGUUAGUUCUGUGAAAUGUUGACCUCAUUAAUCAUGAAUUAUUUACCUAAGUUUUACCUAUUUCAGAUUCUAUUUUAAAGGUGCCCAUGAUGAAAAGGCCUUUUACACCGUAUGAAGUGGAUCUGUAAACUUGGUACUUUUUUCUGUGGAAAUCUAUUUCAGAUCCAAACAAUCCUUGCAUGUCCAUCUGAGAGAUCAUGGACUCAAUGAAAACACUAAUGGACUAAUAAGCUUUAAGCCUGGUAUUUGGAGCACCUUCAUUGUUACGAAUUCUGCAAGAAAGAUCCAGAUCAACUGAUGGCCACUGAACCCAGUGAACUGAACCACUACCUUCCACUGUCAUCCUACGCUGUCCAAGGCCGACUGGUGAUUUCUCCAAAGGUGUUUCUUGUACAUUGAGACAACCUUGUAAUGUAGCAAGUUGGUGAAAUGAUGGACAUCACAUUCCCCCUACGAAGAAAAGAAAUAGUUGAAAAUCAACCUCCUGCAGCUGAAGUCAAAGAAGGGUGGCCAGCCCUGUUCAAAGAACAGCAGAUUGAAGCAGAGUUUGCUCGGCUGACAUCUGUUGACCUGAAGAAGUCUUUCUUCAGUGGACUGGAUUAGCAUUUGCCAAGGUUCCUGGAGCUGUUCAAGGCCAAGAGUGGGAAAUCAGCUGGACAAAGCAGGCAGCUUAAAUGUCUUGAUGACUCCUCUAUACUGAGGAAGAGGUCAGUUGUUCUUCCGGUGCCUUCCGUAUUUUCUCAAGGAUGAUCCUUCAAAUGCAUUCAAGACUGUUCAGGCCAUUGACGAGGAAGCCACAUUCACUCGGGGAAUGCAAGUUGGAGUUCUGCUGGUGAAAGAUGGAGAGGACAUCAUUGCCACAUCAGUCAUUCUUGAGGAACAAGUGGUCCUGCCUGAUGUGGAGGACAUUCCUCAUGCCAUUGCUCUACUGUUGGGUCUGCUUUUUGCCUUUAAUAUAGACUAUCCAAAGGAACUCAGGUACACAUUUGAAGUUUUUCAAAAGGUCCUGAUGAACAUCGGCAGAGGUCAGUGUUCCUUGUGCAUGGUUUGAGAAACAGACUGUUACAAAAAACCAUGUAGAUUCUCCUGAAAUGUCUCAUCUCAUGACUCAUGGGUGUCUGAGCUUUUUGAAAGCACUCAACGUUUCAUGUUAAACAUUGUUCCAAAGGUCAUGUAGAAGUUUGGCACAUGGUUUGGAAUUCUUGUUUUGUUAUUUCAUCUGUUUAGGUUUAUUCCAUCAGAAAAUAUAGUCAUAUCAGUUCAAAGCCAAUCAAAUGCAUAGGUUGAUAAAAAGUAUUGCAAUAAAGAGGUCAACAUAAGACCAAACGAUAGAUGACAAGAUUAAAAUGUGCACUAUUUGUUUAGAACUACUAUUUUGAAUAGUAUCAUUUUGAAUUUUAUUUUAUUGUUUUUAUUUGUGCAAGGUUUUGUCAGAUGCUUUAAAAGUUUAUGCACUUGAAUUAAUGUGCAAUGACUUGUCUCAUUUAAGACACUAAAUAUGUUCUAACUAUAAGACCUUGAUAAGCUGCUGUGUUAAUGUUUUUUUUUGAGUGCAGACUGUUCUAAAACGUUUUCACUAUUCAUUACAAAACAAAACAGCUUCAGUAAAUGUUGCAGAGCUGUAACUUCAUUACUGCUAAAUAAAUAAAAAAACUAGCUGAGUUGAUGAA
Nothobranchius furzeri (turquoise killifish) is the source of this 3123-nucleotide long non-coding RNA. RefSeq lists it as uncharacterized. NCBI's taxonomy places the organism in Eukaryota, Metazoa, Chordata, Actinopteri, Cyprinodontiformes, Nothobranchiidae. The record is from RefSeq and is a predicted model, not a curated record.